GCCUCUGGGGCUCACUACUAACCCUGUGACAUACCUUAUGUUGCCUCGGCGGAUCAGCCCGCGCCCCGUAAAACGGGACGGCCCGCCAGAGGACCCAAACUCUAAUGUUUCUUAUUGUAACUUCUGAGUAAAACAAACAAAUAAAUCAAAACUUUCAACAACGGAUCUCUUGGUUCUGGCAUCGAUGAAGAACGCAGCAAAAUGCGAUAAGUAAUGUGAAUUGCAGAAUUCAGUGAAUCAUCGAAUCUUUGAACGCACAUUGCGCCCGCUGGUAUUCCGGCGGGCAUGCCUGUUCGAGCGUCAUUUCAACCCUCAAGCCCCCGGGUUUGGUGUUGGGGAUCGGCUCUGCCUUCUGGCGGUGCCGCCCCCGAAAUACAUUGGCGGUCUCGCUGCAGCCUCCAUUGCGUAGUAGCUAACACCUCGCAACUGGAACGCGGCGCGGCCAUGCCGUAAAACCCCAACUUCUGAAUGUUGACCUCGGAUCAGGUAGGAAUACCCGCUGAACUUAAGCAUAUCAUAGAGGGAGAGAAAA
RNAcentral lists this ribosomal RNA (532 nucleotides) under Fusarium sp. 0412083A. Its description in RNAcentral is "eukaryotic LSU rRNA". The stretch from base 150 to 303 matches the Rfam family "5.8S ribosomal RNA". Lineage: Eukaryota; Fungi; Ascomycota; Sordariomycetes; Hypocreales; Nectriaceae. The record is from RNAcentral.